AAAUAAAUUGAGAAGGGCGUUUGGUGAAUGCCUUGGCGUCAAGAGACGAAGAAGGACCUGCUAAGCUGGGAAAAGUUGCAACAAGGUGCUACGAACCGUUUGAGUUGCAAAUAUCCGAAUGGGGAAACCCACUACGUAUGUAGUAUCUCUAGCUGAAUAAAUAGGUUAGAGAGGUGAACUCUGGGAACUGAAACAUCUAAGUACCAGAAGGAAAAGAAAAAAAGUACUUUAAAUUCAUUUAAAGAAUAUUCCGAAAGUAGUGGCGAGCGAAAUCGGAUUAAGUUGAUAAAAUUAAAGUAACAUAGAUAGAAGAAUAGUAUGGAAAGACUAACGAUACAGGGUGAUAGUCCCGUAAUUGAAAUGUUGUUAUGAAUUUGUUUUAUUAUAGUAAGGGGAAGUCAAAAUUCCUUUGAAGAUGGGGGAUCCACCCUCCAAGCUUAAAUACUACUUGACGACCGAUAGUGAACCAGUACCGUGAGGGAAAGGUGAAAAGAACCCCGGGAGGGGAGUGAAAUAGAUCCUGAAACCGAAUGCCUACAAACAGAUAGAGGAACGAAAGUUCUGAUAUCGUACUUAUUGCAAAAAGGUCAGCGAGUUAAUUUAAUAUGCAAGCUUAAGCCGUUAGGUGUAGGCAUAGCGAAAGCGAGUUUUAAAAGGGCGUUUGAGUAUAUUAAGUUAGACCCGAAACCAGGUGAGCUAACCAUGAGCAGGCUGAAAAUAUAUUAAAACCAUAUUGGAGGGCCGAACCCGUUGCUGUUGCAAAAGCAUGGGAAGACUUGUGGUUAGGGGUGAAAGGCUAAUCAAACCUGGAUAUAGCUGGUUUUCCGCGAAAUAUAUUUAAGUAUAGCGUCGUUUGUUCAAUUUGGGGGGUAGAGCACUGAAGAAACUAGGGGGGAGAGAUCCUUACUGAAUUUCAUCAAACUCCGAAUACCCAAAUUUAAUAUAAAACGGCAGUCAGACCAGUGGCGACAAGGUCUUUGGUCGAAAGAGAAAGAGCUCAGACUAUCAGUUAAGGUCCCUAAAUAUCUACUAAGUGUAAAUAAAGAAAGUUAAAAAACAAAUACAACUAGGAUGUAGGCUUUAAACCAGCCAUCAUUUAAAGAAAGCGUACUAGCUCACUAGUCUUAGUUUUUUAGCAUCGAAAAUUCAGCGGGGCUAAGUAGAUUACCGAAACUAUAGAUGGUAUAAUUUUUUGAAAUUAUAUCGUGGUAGCGGAACGUUCUAUAAACCGGAGAAGAAAAAAUGAGAGUUUUUUUGGAGGUAAUAGAAGUGAGAAUGCUGACAUAAGUAACGUAAAGACAUGUGAAAGUCAUGUCCGCCGAAAGUUCAAGGGUUCCUGUCCAACGGAAAUCGAGGCAGGGUUAGUCGGCUCCUAAGGCGAGGACGAAAGUCGUAGCUGAUGGAAAGAAGGUUAAUAUUCCUUCACCUAUUGUAAGUGACGAUAAAAAGUGUUCUUCAUAACUUAUUGGAUUGUUAUGGAGGGUGUUUUUUGUCCAGGAAAUAGCUUGCAUUAACAAAAUAGGCCGUACCGUAAACCGACACAGGUGAACUAGUAUAAAUGUACUAAGGCGUGGAGAAAAUGAUGCUGAAGGAACUCGGCAAAUUGCCUCUGUAACUUCGGGACAAAGAGGACUUAUUUUUGGGCAACCAUAAGUAAGUGGAACAUAAAUGGGAGUAGCGACUGUUUAACAAAAACACAGGAUUAUGCUAACUCGUAAGAGGAUGUAUAUGAUCUGACGCCUGCCCGGUGCUAUAAGACAAAAAGGAGGGGUGAAUAGCUCUGAAUUGAAGUCCUAGUAAACGGCAGCUGUAUUCUGACGGUUCUAAGGUAGCGAAAUUCCUUGUCAGGUAAGUUCUGACGCGCAUGAAUGGCGUAACGACUGCUCCGCUGUCUCCAGCAUCAACUCAGUGAAAUUGAACUCUCUGUGAAAAUGCAGAGUAACCGUAGUUAGAAGAGAAGACCCCAUGCACCUUUACUGUGGCUUUAUAUUGGUUUGAAAAAUUAUUUGUGUAGAAUAGGUGGGAAUCUGUGAAGUUAGAACGCUAGUUUUAAUGGAGAUGUCAGUGAAAUACCACUCUUAUAAUUUUUUAAAUCUAACUCGUAUCAUUGAAUCAUGAUAGGGGACAUUAUAUGGCUGACAGUUUGACUGGGGCGGUCGCCUCCUAAAGAGUAACGGAGGUGUGCAAAGGUAGGUUCAUGAUGGAUGGAAACCAUCAAUUGAGUGUAAUGGCAAAAACCUGCCUGACUGUAACACGUACAUGUGGAACAGAUACGAAAGUAGGUCAUAGUGAUCUGGUGGUACCUAGUGGUAGGGCCAUCACUUAACGAAUAAAAGGUACGCUGGGGAUAACAGGCUAGUAACUCGUGAGCGUUCAUAGCGAGCGGGUUGUUCGGCACCUCGAUGUCGGCUCAUCGCAUCCCGGGGCUGUAUAAGGUCCCAAGGGUUUGGCUGUUCGCCAAUUAAAGCGGUACGCGAGCUGGGUUCAGACCGUCGUGAGACAGGUCGGUUUCUAUCUGCUAUGGUUGUAGGAAAAUUGAAGGGAUUUGCUUCUAGUACGAGAGGACCGAAGUGAACAUACCUCUGGUGUACGGGUUGUGAUGCCAAUUGCAGCGCCCGGUAGCUAAAGUAUGGAUAAGAUAACUGCUGAAAGCAUAUAAGUAGGAAACUGACCCUAAAACUAGUUUUCCCUAGAUUUUAUAAUCUUAAAAAGUCCUUAUAGACUAUGAGGUUGAUAGGUUGGGUGUGUAAGAACGGUGACGUUUUAAGCUAACCAAUACUAAUACUUUUUUGUUUUAUUUUU
Rickettsiales bacterium (ex Bugula neritina AB1) is the source of this 2802-nucleotide non-coding RNA. The record is from Rfam. NCBI's taxonomy places the organism in Bacteria, Pseudomonadati, Pseudomonadota, Alphaproteobacteria, Rickettsiales.